RNAcentral lists this ribosomal RNA (484 nucleotides) under uncultured bacterium. RNAcentral's name for it is "partial 16S ribosomal RNA". It matches the Rfam family "Bacterial small subunit ribosomal RNA", at positions 30 to 507 of the family's 1533-position model. The record is from RNAcentral.
AUUGAACGCUGGCGGCAGGCCUAACACAUGCAAGUCGAGCGGAUGAAGGGAGCUUGCUCCUGGAUUCAGCGGCGGACGGGUGAGUAAUGCCUAGGAAUCUGCCUGGUCGUGGGGGAUAACGUCCGGAAACGGGCGCUAAUACCGCAUACGUCCUGAGGGAGAGAGUGGGGGAUCUUCGGACCUCACGCUAUCAGAUGAGCCUAGGUCGGAUUAGCUAGUUGGUGGGGUAAAGGCCUACCAAGGCGACGAUCCGUAACUGGUCUGAGAGGAUGAUCAGUCACACUGGAACUGAGACACGGUCCAGACUCCUACGGGAGGCAGCAGUGGGGAAUAUUGGACAAUGGGCGAAAGCCUGAUCCAGCCAUGCCGCGUGUGUGAAGAAGGUCUUCGGAUUGUAAAGCACUUUAAGUUGGGAGGAAGGGCAGUAAGUUAAUACCUUGCUGUUUUGACGUUACCAACAGAAUAAGCACCGGCUAACUUCGUG